Alligator mississippiensis (American alligator) is the source of this 904-nucleotide long non-coding RNA. RefSeq lists it as uncharacterized. Lineage: Eukaryota; Metazoa; Chordata; Crocodylia; Alligatoridae. The transcript has 4 exons. The record is from RefSeq and is a predicted model, not a curated record.
GCAGGAGGGAGCCUGGUGAGUCUGAUGCCUGCCCACAUGGAGGGACUCAUGCUGUCUGCAUGGAAGUGGCAGUAUUCCUUGCAAAGUGAAGGAAGCUCAAGUCCUACAACAGUCCUACAACGACCCGCACAUUACGACGAGGGACAUGCUCAGCUGGGAUGGGCUUCACCUGUCCCCCAAAGAAUCCUCACUGUGAAUUCCUCAGGUGAAGAUGGCUUUCUGGAAGCUCUAAAGAGAUGCAGAAUCAAAAUGAAGCUCUUCAGGGUGGAAUUAAAGCAGGAAAUGAUAGAAGGAUAGAUCUCCUGUCCCAUGACCUUUGUGGAAGCAAAACCUUCUCAGGUGACUAUCCUCCUUGUUGACACAUCCUCCCUUGCUUGAGUCAUAUUUCUUGGAACAGGCAUUCAAAUCAAGAGUCAUCCCAUUUGAUUGAAGUAUAAGCUCUGGACUGAUCUAAAGCUUGCAAAAACAAGUUUCACAACUGGAAAACCGAAAACAGGAUCCAAACAGUUAGCUAUUAUAAGAUGAUGGUCCCUCCCUACUUGCUUUGUUCAGACUUUAAACUGACCAACUAUGAAGGAGGAAUGCUUUGUAGCUAUACAGCUGAAGAGUAUAAGAAUGAAAUAGAGUUGCUGGCAAGAUGCACUCCAGGAGAGCAAGAAAUCACUGCAACAUUGUAACCUGAGUCCAGCUGAUCACUCUCCAGGAAGGAUCCAUGCCAGAGAAGGCAGCAAAGACAGAAACUGCUUUCUUCCUGCUCUGGUGAGCGACACUAUUGCAGCUAACAUAUACUAGGACUUUUGUGAUAGCUCAUUUACUGAAUAUUGGGAAGGAGUCUUUCUGUCAUUUAGUUUUCUAGCUUGUUUGUGGCAUAAUUAUUAAAGCCUUUCUGUCAUUAAUCAAACAA